Molecule: ribosomal RNA, 491 nt
Filed under: uncultured bacterium
Lineage: Bacteria
Description: partial 16S ribosomal RNA
Rfam family: Bacterial small subunit ribosomal RNA
Source: RNAcentral
AGUGAACGCUGGCGGUAGGCCUAACACAUGCAAGUCGAACGGCAGCACAGUAAGAGCUUGCUCUUACGGGUGGCGAGUGGCGGACGGGUGAGGAAUACAUCGGAAUCUACUUUUUCGUGGGGGAUAACGUAGGGAAACUUACGCUAAUACCGCAUACGACCUACGGGUGAAAGCAGGGGAUCUUCGGACCUUGCGCGAUUGAAUGAGCCGAUGUCGGAUUAGCUAGUUGGCGGGGUAAAGGCCCACCAAGGCGACGAUCCGUAGCUGGUCUGAGAGGAUGAUCAGCCACACUGGAACUGAGACACGGUCCAGACUCCUACGGGAGGCAGCAGUGGGGAAUAUUGGACAAUGGGCGCAAGCCUGACCCAGCCAUACCGCGUGGGUGAAGAAGGCCUUCGGGUUGUAAAGCCCUUUUGUUGGGAAAGAAAAGCAGCAGGUUAAUACCCCGCUGUUCUGACGGUACCCAAAGAAUAAGCCCGGCUAACUUCGUG